UACGUAGGGGGCAAGCGUUGUUCGGAAUUACUGGGCGUAAAGGGCGCGUAGGCGGCCCAGCAAGUCGGGGGUGAAAGCCCGGGGCUCAACCCCGGAAUGGCGUUCGAAACUGCUGAGCUAGAGUACAGUAGGGGCAACCGGAAUUCCCAGUGUAGCGGUGAAAUGCGUAGAUAUCGAGAGGAACACCUGCGGCGAAGGCGGGUUGCUGGGCUGACACUGACGCUGAUGUGCGAAAGCUAGGGGAGCGAACGGG
Molecule: ribosomal RNA, 253 nt
Filed under: uncultured bacterium
Lineage: Bacteria
Description: partial 16S ribosomal RNA
Rfam family: Bacterial small subunit ribosomal RNA
Source: RNAcentral